This 708-nucleotide non-coding RNA is filed under the name Ixodes scapularis (black-legged tick). The record is from RNAcentral. Lineage: Eukaryota; Metazoa; Arthropoda; Arachnida; Ixodida; Ixodidae.
UUUAAAUGUAGUUUUAAUAAAAAUUAAUAAAACUUUCUUUAUAUUUUAUAAAAUAAAUUAUAUUUUAAAUAGAAGAAAAAUUUAUAAUUCUAUUUUAAAAUAGAGUAGAAGUUUGAUAAAUGAUUUGGCUAAACUUGUGCCAGCCGCCGCGGUUAUACAAGUAAAUCUUUUUUUAAAAAAUUAAAAAUAAUAAAAAAAUUUUUGUAUUUUAAAAAUUUAUAAAGGUGAAAUUUAUAAUUUUAAAAAAAUUAAUUUGAUUUUAUAAAAAUUUAAUUUUUAAACUAGGAUUAGAUACCCUAUUAUUUUAAGCUAUAUAUUAGGAGUAAAUAAAAUUUAUGAAAUUAAAAAAUUUUGGCGGUAUUUUAAGCUUAUUAGAGGAAUUUGCUCUGUGAUGGACACAACGCCUUAAUCUUACUUAAUUUAGUAAUUUAAAUCAGUUUGUAUACCACUAUAUUAAUUAUAUUGAAUAGUUAUAUUUAAAAUUUUUUUAAAAAAAUAUAUUAAGUCAAGGUGCAUCUAAUAAUUAUGAAUGAAGUGAAUUACAUUAAUUUUAAUGUAAUUUUUUAUAUGAAAAAAUUAAUUAGGAUUUAAUAGUAAAAUACUAAUAUUAUGAGUAUUUGAAUCAAGCUCUAAAAUAUGCACAUAUCGCCCGUCGCUCUCAGAAGUGAGAUAAGUCGUAACAAAGUAAAAAUACUGGAAAGUGUUUUU